This 69-nucleotide transfer RNA is filed under the name Araneus ventricosus. Its description in RNAcentral is "tRNA-Glu". Lineage: Eukaryota; Metazoa; Arthropoda; Arachnida; Araneae; Araneidae. The record is from RNAcentral.
UCCCAUGCCGUGAGUCGAACCGGGGCCGCCUGGGUGAGAGCCAAGAAUCCCGACCGCUAGACCACAUGG